This 253-nucleotide ribosomal RNA is filed under the name uncultured bacterium. RNAcentral's name for it is "partial 16S ribosomal RNA". It matches the Rfam family "Bacterial small subunit ribosomal RNA", at positions 524 to 776 of the family's 1533-position model. The record is from RNAcentral.
UACGUAGGGUGCAAGCGUUAAUCGGAAUUACUGGGCGUAAAGCGUGCGCAGGCGGUUGUGUAAGACAGAUGUGAAAUCCCCGGGCUCAACCUGGGAACUGCAUUUGUGACUGCACAGCUGGAGUGCGGCAGAGGGGGAUGGAAUUCCGCGUGUAGCAGUGAAAUGCGUAGAUAUGCGGAGGAACACCGAUGGCGAAGGCAAUCCCCUGGGCCUGUACUGACGCUCAUGCACGAAAGCGUGGGGAGCAAACAGG